This 119-nucleotide ribosomal RNA is filed under the name Stegodyphus dumicola. Lineage: Eukaryota; Metazoa; Arthropoda; Arachnida; Araneae; Eresidae. The record is from RNAcentral.
GUCAACGGCCAUACUAUGCUGAAAGUACCGGUUCUCCUCCGAUCACCGAAGUAAAGCAGCAUCGGGCGCAGUCAGUACUUGGGAGGGUGACCACCUGGGAACACUGCGUGCUGUUGACA